AGACCGUGAGGUGGAGCAAAACUCAAAAACUUAGUCUCAGUUCGGAUUGUAGGCUGAAACUACGCCUACAUGAAGCUGGAGUUGCUAGUAAUCGCGAAUCAGCAUGUCGCGGUGAAUACGUUCCCGGGCCUUGUACACACCGCCCGUCACACCAUGAGAGUUGGCAAUACCCAACGUACGUGAUCUAACCCGCAAGGGAGGAAGCGUCCUAAGGUAGGGUCAGCGAUUGGGGUGAAGUCGUAACAAGGUACC
This 252-nucleotide ribosomal RNA is filed under the name uncultured bacterium. Its description in RNAcentral is "partial 16S ribosomal RNA". It matches the Rfam family "Bacterial small subunit ribosomal RNA", at positions 1252 to 1500 of the family's 1533-position model. The record is from RNAcentral.